Molecule: long non-coding RNA, 100 nt
Organism: Thalassophryne amazonica
Lineage: Eukaryota; Metazoa; Chordata; Actinopteri; Batrachoidiformes; Batrachoididae
Exons: 3
Source: RefSeq, a predicted model, not a curated record
UCAGUGUUUUGAGAAGUGCACCCUGACCCAUCGAAGGAUGGACUCCAUUAGACCUCUGAAGGUGUGCUGUGGUAUCUGGCACCAAGACGGGAGCAGCAGA